UCCGUGCCCCCAGCCGCGGUAAUACGGAAGUGGCAAGCGUUAUCCGGAAUUAUUGGGCGUAAAGCGUCCGCAGGCGGCCCUACAAGUCUGCUGUUAAAAAGUGGAGCUUAACUCCAUCAUGGCAGUGGAAACUGUUGGGCUUGAGUGUGGUAGGGGCAGAGGGAAUUCCCGGUGUAGCGGUGAAAUGCGUAGAUAUCGGGAAGAACACCAGUGGCGAAGGCGCUCUGCUGGGCCAUCACUGACGCUCAUGGACGAAAGCCAGGGGAGCGAAAGGGAUUAGAUACCCCUGUAGUCCUGGCCGUAAACGAUGAACACUAGGUGUCGGGGGAAUCGACCCCUCCGGUGUCGUAACCAACGCGUUAAGUGUUCCGCCUGGGGAGUACGCACGCAAGUGUGAAACUCAAAUGAAUUGAC
Molecule: ribosomal RNA, 414 nt
Filed under: uncultured bacterium
Lineage: Bacteria
Description: bacterial SSU rRNA
Rfam family: Bacterial small subunit ribosomal RNA
Source: RNAcentral